This is a non-coding RNA of Lactuca sativa (garden lettuce), 2669 nucleotides long. The record is from RefSeq and is a predicted model, not a curated record. Lineage: Eukaryota; Viridiplantae; Streptophyta; Magnoliopsida; Asterales; Asteraceae.
AUACUAAUUAACAAGUGACACAUGAACAGUUCUUCAUUCUGAUUGGCUAAUAAUUUUUUUUAUGGUUUUUUUUUCUUCUUUUGUUGUCUUCUUUCUCUUAAUAAAUAAUUUAUAUUCCACAUGAAAGUGGAUUACAGAUGUCUUCGUUUCUCAAACUCCUUUCUACGUGUUUGUUUCCUGCUCCUUCUUUUUUGCCAUAUCGACUUUUUCCACCGCUUACCUUCUUCUACGAAGAACAAUCGACCUUCUCACUUUGCUCUUUCGUUAUGGCCUUCACUGCUAGACAAAAAUUGGAAUUGGCAAAUGGCAACACUAGAUAAGGAGACGACCGAUCUACCCUGGUUGUCGGUGUGCGGUUGUGGCAUAUGCGAUCUUUAUUAGGGGAAGCAGUGACCGGAGGUUCCCUUACAUCUCCUCCCGAUUGCAUCCAAAAGGGCACACUGAGGUCGUUAACGAACUGCUAUCAGAGAAUCCGACCAAACCACAAUUGGACCGACCAACUCAUAUCAGUCAUGGGUUAGUUUAUCUCUCUGCUGGGUUAGUACACUACCGAUCGCUUCCCUCUACACCAGUGGAGAAUGGAUCAAUUCAAUGAGCUUUUCCGAAUAGUAGAUUUGGAUAUUGAUGGAAAAAUCAGUGGAGUCGAAGUUGUUGCUUUCUUUCAGGUUCUAAUUUAUUUAAUGCAGUGCUUGCUCAGGUACUUAAAAUUCAACAUCUCUGUGUAUUAAACUCUCGAUUGAAUUUGUAAGGGGUUUUAGAUAUUAACUUUCUGUAGUCAUUGACAAAUCUAUUUAAUACUACUUCAUCCGUUCAAUAGUCGAGAAGCAGUCUGACAGAUGUUUGAAUAUUUAGGAGAAUUUGUAUCAUAUCUUGUGCUAUAAACCGUUACAAGUCAUUUUGGGUCUCUACUCUCCACUAAAUUUUGAUUUGUCAUCAUCUGUAGGAACAGUGUGGAUUAAUUGAGUUGCACUUUGCAAAUCUCUCUGGUCAUCUCCCUUAUCUGAAAUCUUCACUUAUGUUUGUAUAAUGGGUUGGGUUGGGUGAUACUAAUCUGAAAAAUACAAGAAGUGUAAACCUUCUGUCUUUUUUUUUCUUGCAUUUUUAUCAGAUUUAAAGUUAUCGGUGUUCCAAUGAGUUAUUGGGAGUUACUCUCACAGUCAUACCAAGGCCUACUUCGUUUUGUCACGAGAUAAAUUGAUUUCAUCCUUUUUAGAGUAUAUUGGAAUAACAUUUCCUAUACUGGUUUGAAAAUUUGUUUGUUCUUUGGUAAUUUUCAGGUAUAUAUAUAUAUAUAUAUAUAUAUAUAUAUAUAUAUAUAUAUAUAUAUAUAUAUAUGUGUGUGUGUGUGUGUGUGUGUAGCGUGUUAUGGCUAACCAAGCUAACUGAUCAACAUUUGACAGCUCAUGGAUUUACCUCUACCCUUAAAGGUAAAAAUAAAAAGUCUUUUUAACUUUAUUUAAAUAUCUCUUUGACAGGUGGACCCUCAAGAUAUUGUUAUGGUAUGUUGAAAAUUACAUUUAAAACAUAUGUUUAUUAAUUUACAAGCACUGAUUUACUAUAUGUGUAACCCGAUAGCUAAAUAAAUAAGUAUCCAUCUGAGAGAGGCGCAUCAUACAGUUUGUUAGGUAAAAAAAAUAGUGAUUUCAAGAGUUUUUGUCCAAGAUGCGCUUGCAUAAUUUUUCUUUUUUGAUAAGAAAAUUGACUUCAAUAGUUUUCACCAAACUACCCCUACAUAUUAUUCUUUUGGUAAAAAAAAUAUUGAUUUUAUACUCUGUAUGUUUAAGAACAAAACAUUGACUAAACCAAACCAAAAACUUGGGGUUACGGGGUUAAGUAUCCUCUAUAACAUAUUUAAAAUAUGGAUUUGUGCAAUAAGAUUUCAUUAGAUUGCGGACUGAUCUGUUACAAUUCUUUUAGCUGAAUUUUUUGUUCUUUUUUUACUUAUUUAUGGGUAAAAAUGAGACAGAGAGGUUACCUAUUUUAGAAAAUUUUGUUUGACUUAUAGCUGAUGAUGUGCACCUUUGUUUCUUUACUGAAUAUAUAUACUUUAAUACGCAAUAUAUCAUCAUCUUAUGUAUAUUCUAGAGGAUAAGAUAGGAUUUUUGAGAAAGUAAUUAGUUUUAUGUAAGCUAAUAUUUUCAAUACUUUUUAGGUACCAGUGGUUGGAAUUGCAAUGGCACCCAAUAGAACUUACAUGUAGACAACAAACAUGGUCACUUACCGUCAUUCUUCUUCGGAAGAUGAGUAAGAUACCCAAGCUUUCUACCCACACAACCUCAUUAUGAUCUUCCCAAAAAACACGAUCUCAUUCCAUGUGUAGUAUGAUAUUUGGAACUUGAUGAGGCUUUUGUAUGAACCUACAAUUGAAUAAGUUGCUACAUCUAAAGCCCUUCUAAGAUUGUAUCAGGCCUUAAGAGCAGGCAAACCAAAGUAGAUUGUUAUUUGUUGCAUUUUUCAUAUUUAAAUGGCAUAGUCCAUACAAUAUAACUCAAUAAAUUUUUUCUGUUUUUUCCAAUUCUUUGGCCUUUCCAACCCCGCAAAGCGGGAUUCUUCCCUAGUUAAAGCUUAAAUAACAACUUAUGUUUCUAACUUUUGAAGUAAAUACUUGUCAAUGUCCGCAUUGCUACUUCCUUUACAUGUGAGUCCUUACAAUUUAAUAUUCAGGUAGU